GACGAACGCUGGCGGCGUGCUUACACAUGCAAGUCGAACGGAAAGGCCCUGCUUUUGUGGGGUGCUCGAGUGGCGAACGGGUGAGUAACACGUGAGUAACCUGCCCUUGACUUUGGGAUAACUUCAGGAAACUGGGGCUAAUACCGGAUAGGAGCUCCUGCUGCAUGGUGGGGGUUGGAAAGUUUCGGCGGUUGGGGAUGGACUCGCGGCUUAUCAGCUUGUUGGUGGGGUAGUGGCUUACCAAGGCUUUGACGGGUAGCCGGCCUGAGAGGGUGACCGGCCACAUUGGGACUGAGAUACGGCCCAGACUCCUACGGGAGGCAGCAGUGGGGAAUAUUGCACAAUGGGCGGAAGCCUGAUGCAGCAACGCCGCGUGCGGGAUGACGGCCUUCGGGUUGUAAACUGCUUUCGCCUGUGACGAAGCGUGAGUGACGGUAAUGGGUAAAGAAGCACCGGCUAACUGCGUGCCAGCAGCCGCGGUGAUACGUAGGGUGCGAGCGUUGUCCGGAUUUAUUGGGCGUAAAGGGCUCGUAGGUGGUUGAUCGCGUCGGAGGUGUAAUCUUGGGGCUUAACCCUGAGCGUGCUUUCGAUACGGGUUGACUUGAGGAAGGUAGGGGAGAAUGGAAUUCCUGGUGGAGCGGUGGAAUGCGCAGAUAUCAGGAGGAACACCAGUGGCGAAGGCGGUUCUCUGGGCCUUUCCUGACGCUGAGGAGCGAAAGCGUGGGGAGCGAACAGGCUUAGAUACCCUGGUAGUCCACGCUGUAAACGGUGGGUACUAGGUGUGGGGUCCAUUCCACGGGUUCCGUGCCGUAGCUAACGCUUUAAGUACCCCGCCUGGGGAGUACGGCCGCAAGGCUAAAACUCAAAGGAAUUGACGGGGCCCCGCACAAGCGGCGGAGCAUGCGGAUUAAUUCGAUGCAACGCGUAGAACCUUACCUGGGUUUGACAUGGAUCGGGAGUGCUCAGAGAUGGGUGUGCCUCUUUUGGGGUCGGUUCACAGGUGGUGCAUGCCUGUCGUCAGCUCGUGUCGUGAGAUGUUGGGUUAAGUCCCGCAACGAGCGCAACCCUUGUUCACUGUUGCCAGCACGUUAUGGUGGGGACUCAGUGGAGACCGCCGGGGUCAACUCGGAGGAAGGUGGGGAUGACGUCAAGUCCUCAUGCCCCUUAUGUCCAGGGCUUCACGCAUGCUACAAUGGCUGGUACAGAGAGUGGCGAGCCUGUGAGGGUGAGCGAAUCUCGGAAAGCCGGUCUCAGUUCGGAUUGGGGUCUGCAACUCGACCUCAUGAAGUCGGAGUCGCUAGUAAUCGCAGAUCAGCAACGCUGCGGUGAAUACGUUCCCGGGGCU
RNAcentral lists this ribosomal RNA (1345 nucleotides) under uncultured bacterium. RNAcentral's name for it is "bacterial SSU rRNA". It matches the Rfam family "Bacterial small subunit ribosomal RNA", at positions 28 to 1381 of the family's 1533-position model. The record is from RNAcentral.